GAAAUGCCUCCAUGAGAUCCAAUUGUAAGGCAUUUUCUCAAUUAGUGAUCAAUCAGGGAUUAGUGACCAUGGUGGGUGGGGCCACCCCUGGGCUGGUGCUCCUG
MicroRNA precursor from Cricetulus griseus (Chinese hamster), 104 nucleotides. The record is from Ensembl. NCBI's taxonomy places the organism in Eukaryota, Metazoa, Chordata, Mammalia, Rodentia, Cricetidae.